UGGUUUUAAGUAACAGUUGCCAAUGUCUUUCCAUUUCAGAGACGCCAACCACAGCCUGCUUCUGUGCUCUCAGGCAUUGGAAGUACAGCAAAACAUUAUCAGACCUGCACAGAACUGAAGAGAUGCUAAUCUUACUCCUGUAUCUCCCUACUCUUUGGCUGGGAAAACAUCCAGCAUAUUGUUACCUUUUGGCCUUUAACGGACAGUAUUUAAAAGGAUUAUUCCCAUAGCUGUGUCAAUUGGACUGGAGUGAAAAGGAGGAAAGCUGGAGUCUUCUCAAAUCCCCGGGAAGAAAUUGAAAAAUUAAUAACCACUGAUCUAAAAUAAUGAACAGAGCAUAUCCAUCUGGCACAGGCGAAAAGCACUUACACCAUAACAAAUGAGCAAAGUCAAAGCAGUUCAAUGAAGAAAUGAACUCUCAGGUAUGCAAAGGAAGGAGAGGUCAGGAGUCUCGAGGGGUUUUGCAGAAAGUGGGUCCUGGAAGGGCCAACAACGGAGAAACCAACCCGACACCUACAGAACUGGACAGGACAUGGAAUGUGAAGCUGACUGACAGGAACCAAAGGAGGAGCCAGGGGGCAGGCCUAACUCAGGGGCAUCUGGAAACCACUGAAUGGCAACCACAGG
RNAcentral lists this long non-coding RNA (627 nucleotides) under Fukomys damarensis (Damara mole-rat). RNAcentral's name for it is "lncRNA (ENSFDAG00000029234.1)". The record is from RNAcentral. Lineage: Eukaryota; Metazoa; Chordata; Mammalia; Rodentia; Bathyergidae.